GGGUCAUUAAAUCAGUUAUGGUUCAUUGGAUCGUACCACACAGUACUUGGAUAACUGUGGUAAUUCUAGAGCUAAUACAUGCGAACAGAGUCCCGACCGGAGACGGGAGGGAUGCUUUUAUUAGAUCAAAACCAAUCGGCCGGUCGCCGGGCCCUCGUGCUCGUGCGGUCCGGUCCGUUUGCUUUGGUGACUCUGGAUAACUUGGAGCAGAUCGCACGGUCCUCGCGCCGGCGACGCGUCCUUCAAAUGUCUGCCUUAUCAACUGUCGAUGGUAGGCUCUGCGCCUACCAUGGUCGUAACGGGUGACGGGGAAUCAGGGUUCGAUUCCGGAGAGGGAGCCUGAGAAACGGCUACCACAUCCAAGGAAGGCAGCAGGCGCGCAAAUUACCCACUCCCGGCACGGGGAGGUAGUGACGAAAAAUAACGAUACGGGACUCAUCCGAGGCCCCGUAAUCGGAAUGAGAACACUUUAAACCCUUUAACGAGUAUCCAUUGGAGGGCAAGUCUGGUGCCAGCAGCCGCGGUAAUUCCAGCUCCAAUAGCGUAUAUUAAAGCUGUUGCGGUUAAAAAGCUCGUAGCUGGACCUGUGUCCCACGCUGUCGGUUCACCGUUCGUCGGUGUCCAACUGGCACGCCCGUGCGGACGUCCUGCCGGUGGAUGCGGUCGGCCGUGGUGUAGGGCCCCGCGUGGUGCCCCGCCGGAGCCUGGCGGGAAGAACCCCGAAAGGGGGAGCACCCCCGUCCGGGGGACGGCGGACCAGCGCCCGCGGUCGGUUCCGACCUGCGCGUCGGCGGUCCGGUGCAAUCCCGCCGCGGUGCUCUUCACCGAGUGUCGAGGUGGGCCGGCACGUUUACUUUGAACAAAUUAGAGUGCUCAAAGCAGGCAGUGGUUGGCCUGGAUGCUGUGUGCAUGGAAUAAUGGAAUAGGACCUCGGUUCUAUUUUGUUGGUUUUCGGAACCCCCGAGGUAAUGAUUAAUAGGGACAGACGGGGGCAUUCGUAUUGCGACGUUAGAGGUGAAAUUCUUGGAUCGUCGCAAGACGGACGAAAGCGAAAGCAUUUGCCACGAGUGUUUUCGUUAGUCAAGAACGAAAGUUAGAGGUUCGAAGGCGAUCAGAUACCGCCCUAGUUCUAACCAUAAACGAUGCCAGCCGGCGAUCCGCCGAUGUUCCUCCGAUGACUCGGCGGGCAGCUUCCGGGAAACCAGAGCUUCUGGGUUCCGGGGGAAGUAUGGUUGCAAAGCUGAAACUUAAAGGAAUUGACGGAAGGGCACCACCAGGAGUGGAGCCUGCGGCUUAAUUUGACUCAACACGGGAAACCUCACCAGGCCCGGACACCGGAAGGAUUGACAGAUUGAGAGCUCUUUCUUGAUUCGGUGGGUGGUGGUGCAUGGCCGUUCUUAGUUGGUGGAGCGAUUUGUCUGGUUAAUUCCGAUAACGAACGAGACUCCGGCCUGCUAACUAGUCGCACUUGCGGUAUCCCUUCGUGCUACCGGCGACAGAUGAUCUUCUUAGAGGGACAGGCGGCUCCUAGCCGCACGAGAUCGAGCAAUAACAGGUCUGUGAUGCCCUUAGAUGUUCUGGGCCGCACGCGCGCUACACUGAAGGAAUCAGCGUGUCCUCCUGGCCCGAGAGGGCCGGGUAACCCGUUGAAACUCCUUCGUGCUGGGGAUUGGGGCUUGCAAUUGUUCCCCAUGAACGAGGAAUUCCCAGUAAGCGCGAGUCAUGAGCUCGCGUUGAUUACGUCCCUGCCCUUUGUACACACCGCCCGUCGCUACUACCGAUUGAAUGAUUUAGUGAGGUCUUCGGACCGGCGCGCGGCGGCUCCACCUUCCUCCGUCCGGUGCCCCUCCCGCUUAACGGCGGCGAGCGGGGUUACCGCCGGGCGGGGUCGGAGGCCGCUGAUGUCGCUGGGAAGAUGACCGAACUUGAUCAUUUAGAGGAAGUAAAAGUCGUAACAAGGUUUCCGUAGGUGAAC
Molecule: ribosomal RNA, 1975 nt
Filed under: Dares philippinensis
Lineage: Eukaryota; Metazoa; Arthropoda; Insecta; Phasmatodea; Heteropterygidae
Description: SSU rRNA
Rfam family: Eukaryotic small subunit ribosomal RNA
Source: RNAcentral